GUCUGAGCGUAGGUAUGCUCAGUCUGACCUGCCCGCUGACAAUCCGUUGUUGAAGAACCGCGGCAUCGUGACCAUGCGAAGGUAGCAUAAUCAUUUGUCUUUUAAUUGAAGGCUGGAAUGAAUGGUCGAACGAGAAGUAAGCUGUCUCUUUAAUGAUAACUGAAUAUUACCUUUAAGUGAAAAAGCUUAAAUGUCACGAGGGGACGAUAAUACCCUAUAAAGCUUC
This 226-nucleotide ribosomal RNA is filed under the name Parhippolyte cavernicola. RNAcentral's name for it is "partial large subunit ribosomal RNA". It matches the Rfam family "Bacterial large subunit ribosomal RNA", at positions 1831 to 2102 of the family's 2925-position model. Lineage: Eukaryota; Metazoa; Arthropoda; Malacostraca; Decapoda; Barbouriidae. The record is from RNAcentral.